This is a long non-coding RNA of Manihot esculenta (cassava), 932 nucleotides long. RefSeq lists it as uncharacterized. NCBI's taxonomy places the organism in Eukaryota, Viridiplantae, Streptophyta, Magnoliopsida, Malpighiales, Euphorbiaceae. The transcript is spliced from 2 exons. The record is from RefSeq and is a predicted model, not a curated record.
AGCUUUCAACUUCUUCUCCCCCCCCCCUCUCUCCCUCUCUCUCUCUCUCUCUCUCUCUCUAAUUUAGGCUUCAGCUUCUACUGCAAAGUAAUUUCUCUCAUAUAUCAGAAACAAGUGCCAGGAAUACCUCCUCAGUCCUCUCAUGACUCACUAAAUGACCACCAUGGAGAUCUAUCAUCCUAGCAACUGGCUGCAGCUUCUCUGCAAGUCUCCUGGCAUAGUAUAAUUGAGCAAUGAUAUCAUACCUACAUUCAAAGGACCUCAAGUUAAUCUUAAGCAGGUAUGAUUUAUGGACAGUGUCAUUAAUAGCACAUCAUAGACCUGGACACGUUCGGUUCUAGUUUGAUCUAGUUCAGUUAAAUCCAGUUCACCAGGUUUUUGGAUUCAACAUCCGAUCAAAUGAGUUUGACUGAAGAUGGUUUUUGUUAAAUUGGAUUUGACUGAUUUCACUCCAAACCCAGACCACGCCCAUGUCCAGCACAUCACCACAGAAACAUGCCCAAAACAUCCAAUGACACAUACAUGAUACACAUGCAAAAUGAUUCAUUUCAUCAUGCAAUAUAAUGAUAAUUUGCACAAAAUUUCUUGAUGCACCCAAACACACAUGGCCGUGCACACACACCACCCAUGUUGUAGUUCAUCCAAAUGCUUGAAACCACCAAAGAACAAGGUUCUUACUUGAAUUGUCUGUUUCAAAAAUACAACCAAUAACAAAUGCUAACGUUAAUCUAUAUGGUUUUAAAUCGCCACCAUGGCAUUUGCAGUAGCAUGUCAUAGUGUAGGGAUUGCCAUGGACAUAACUGAACAGCUAUUAGGAAGGAAAAGUAUGCCCAUGACAUAUAGUUGUUGCAGUGGCCCUUUUUCAUAUAAACCAAUUGCGUUGAAUGCAUAAAAUUUAACAUUUGCAACUAAUAAAUGAAAAAGAAAACCAA